Molecule: unclassified non-coding RNA, 293 nt
Filed under: fungal sp.
Lineage: Eukaryota; Fungi
Description: partial internal transcribed spacer region
Rfam family: Eukaryotic small subunit ribosomal RNA (bases 1-46)
Source: RNAcentral
AAGUCGUAACAAGGUUUCCGUAGGUGAACCUGCGGAAGGAUCAUUACCAAAUCCAAAUCCUUCAACCCCUUGUGAACUAUGAUUUUAUUUAUUGUUUGUCUUUGGGGAGAGUGUUAAAAUCUUGCUUCGAAAAUCAAAAGAUUUUAGAUUUAAGUUUUUAUGCUCCCCAAAAGAGUUUCCCCUCUUCUUGAGGUUGAACUCAAAUAUUUAAACUACUUUCAUAAACUUUUUUUGGAAUGCUUUUAUUUUUACUAAUAAAAGACAACUUUUAACGGUGGAUCUCUUGGCUCGUG